This 253-nucleotide ribosomal RNA is filed under the name uncultured bacterium. Its description in RNAcentral is "partial 16S ribosomal RNA". It matches the Rfam family "Bacterial small subunit ribosomal RNA", at positions 524 to 776 of the family's 1533-position model. The record is from RNAcentral.
UACGUAUGGAGCAAGCGUUAUCCGGAUUUACUGGGCGUAAAGGGAGCGUAGGCGGCCUGCCAAGUCUGAUGUGAAAUACCGGGGCUCAACCCCGGGGCUGCCGUUGAAACCGGAGCGCUAGAAUUCCGAUGCCGUCGGAGGAAUGUGUGGUGUAGCGGUGAAAUGCAUAGAUAUCACACAGAACACCGAUUGCGAAGGCAUCUGACGAAUCGGAGAUUGACGCUGAUGCACGAAAGCGUGGGUAUCGAACAGG